Molecule: ribosomal RNA, 544 nt
Filed under: uncultured bacterium
Lineage: Bacteria
Description: bacterial SSU rRNA
Rfam family: Bacterial small subunit ribosomal RNA
Source: RNAcentral
CCUUAUGGAGGGGGAUAACAGAGAGAAAUCACUGCUAAUACCGCAUAAGCACACAGUACCGCAUGGUACAGGGUGAAAAGAUUUAUCACCAUAAGAUGGACCCGCGUCUGAUUAGCCAGUUGGCAGGGUAAAAGCCUACCAAAGCAACGAUCAGUAGCCGAUCUGAGAGGAUGACCGGCCACAUUGGGACUGAGACACGGCCCAAACUCCUACGGGAGGCAGCAGUGGGGAAUAUUGCACAAUGGGGGAAACCCUGAUGCAGCGACGCCGCGUGAGUGAAGAAGUAUUUCGGUAUGUAAAGCUCUAUCAGCAGGGAAGAUAAUGACAGUACCUGACUAAGAAGCCCCGGCUAACUACGUGCCAGCAGCCGCGGUAAUACGUAGGGGGCAAGCGUUAUCCGGAUUUACUGGGUGUAAAGGGAGCGUAGACGGAGUGGCAAGUCUGAAGUGAAAACCCUGGGCUUAACCUAGGGACUGCUUUGGAAACUGUUAAUCUAGAGUGUUGGAGAGGUAAGUGGAAUUCCUGGUGUAGCGGUGAAAUGCGU